GAGGGUUAGACUGUCUCCUUUUUCAAAUCAGUGAAAUUAAUCUCCCCGUGAAGAAGCGGGGAUACUCUUAUAAGACGAGAAGACCCCAUGGAGCUUCAAACCCAACUACACCCCUAACUCUUAUAGCCUCACAACCCCCCUAGGCGCCGUGUGCUUGGUUUUAGGUUGGGGCGACCGCGGAGUACAAUAAAACCUCCACAAUGAAUGGGACCACCCCCUUAUCUGAGGGCCACACCCCUAAGAAUUAGAACACUAACAUAAAAUGAUCCAUUACUUGAUCAAUGAACCAAGUUACCCUGGGGAUAACAGCGCAAUCCAUUUCAAGAGCCCCUAUCGACAAAUGGGUUUACGACCUC
This 356-nucleotide ribosomal RNA is filed under the name Mantidactylus melanopleura. Its description in RNAcentral is "partial 16S ribosomal RNA". It matches the Rfam family "Bacterial large subunit ribosomal RNA", at positions 2006 to 2527 of the family's 2925-position model. The record is from RNAcentral. Lineage: Eukaryota; Metazoa; Chordata; Amphibia; Anura; Mantellidae.